CGUGUCGUGAGAUGUUGGGUUAAGUCCCGCAACGAGCGCAACCCUCACCCCUUGUUGCCAUCAGGUCAUGCUGGGCACUCUAGAGGAACUGCCCCGGUCAACGGGGAGGAAGGUGGGGAUGACGUCAAGUCAUCAUGCCCCUUACGUCCUGGGCUACACACGUGCUACAAUGGCCGGUACAAAGGGAUGCCACACCGCGAGGUAGAGCUAAACCCAAAAAGCCGGUCUAAGUUCAGAUUGGAGUCUGCAACUCGACUCCAUGAAGGAGGAAUCGCUAGUAAUCGC
This 285-nucleotide ribosomal RNA is filed under the name uncultured Methylomirabilota bacterium. RNAcentral's name for it is "uncultured candidate division NC10 bacterium partial 16S ribosomal RNA". It matches the Rfam family "Bacterial small subunit ribosomal RNA", at positions 1061 to 1345 of the family's 1533-position model. Lineage: Bacteria; Methylomirabilota (SeqCode). The record is from RNAcentral.